This 253-nucleotide ribosomal RNA is filed under the name uncultured bacterium. RNAcentral describes it as "partial 16S ribosomal RNA". It matches the Rfam family "Bacterial small subunit ribosomal RNA", at positions 524 to 776 of the family's 1533-position model. The record is from RNAcentral.
UACGUAGGGGGCAAGCGUUGUCCGGAAUCAUUGGGCGUAAAGAGCGUGUAGGCGGCCCGGUAAGUCCGCUGUGAAAGUCCAGGGCUCAACCCUGGGAUGCCGGUGGAUACUGUCGGGCUCGAGUCCGGAAGAGGCGAGUGGAAUUCCCGGUGUAGCGGUGAAAUGCGCAGAUAUCGGGAGGAACACCAAUGGCGAAGGCAGCUCGCUGGGACGUUACUGACGCUGAGACGCGAAAGCGUGGGGAGCAAACAGG